GGUGAACGCUGGCGGCGUGCCUAAGACAUGCAAGUCGAGCGGGGCAGGUUUAUACCUGUUCAGCGGCGGACGGGUGAGUAACGCGUGGGUGACCUACCCGGAAGAGGCGGACAACCUGGGGAAACCCAGGCUAAUCCGCCAUGUGGUCCUGUCCUGUGGGGCAGGACUAAAGGGUGGAUAGCCCGCUUCCGGAUGGGCCCGCGUCCCAUCAGCUAGUUGGUGGGGUAAAGGCCCACCAAGGCGACGACGGGUAGCCGGUCUGAGAGGAUGGCCGGCCACAGGGGCACUGAGACACGGGCACCACUCCUACGGGAGGCAGCAGUUAGGAAUCUUCCGCAAUGGACGGAAGUCUGACGGAGCGACGCCGCUUGGAGGAGGAAGCCCUUCGGGGUGUAAACUCCUGAACUGGGGACGAAAGCCCUGUGUAGGGGGAUGACGGUACCCAGGUAAUAGCGCCGGCCAACUCCGUG
RNAcentral lists this ribosomal RNA (470 nucleotides) under uncultured bacterium. Its description in RNAcentral is "partial 16S ribosomal RNA". It matches the Rfam family "Bacterial small subunit ribosomal RNA", at positions 28 to 507 of the family's 1533-position model. The record is from RNAcentral.